This 454-nucleotide ribosomal RNA is filed under the name uncultured bacterium. RNAcentral's name for it is "bacterial SSU rRNA". It matches the Rfam family "Bacterial small subunit ribosomal RNA", at positions 338 to 795 of the family's 1533-position model. The record is from RNAcentral.
CCUACGGGGGGCAGCAGUGAGGAAUUUUCCGCAAUGGGGGAAACCCUGACGGAGCAAUACUACGUGAAGGAAGAAGGUCUAAGGAUUGUAAACUUCUGUUAGCGCGGAAGAAGAGUUAAUAGCUUUGACGGUACGCGCAGAGAAAGCCACGACUAACUAUGUGCCAGCAGUCGCGGUAAGACAUAGGUGGCGAACGUUAUCCGGAAUUAUUGGGCGUAAAGGGUGCGUAGAUCGCAUGAUAAGUUAUCGGUGGCAAAUCGGGGCCUAACCCCGCGGAAGUCGAUAAUACUGUUAUGCUUGAGUUCAGAAGAGGUUGGUGGAACUCCAUGUGGAGCGGUAAAAUGCGUAGAUAUAUGGAAGAAUGUCGAUAAAGGCGAAGGCAGCUAACUAUUCUGUUACUGACGUUGAGGCACGAAAGCGUGGGGAGCAAAAAGGAUUAGAUACCCCAGUAGUC